This 506-nucleotide ribosomal RNA is filed under the name uncultured bacterium. RNAcentral's name for it is "bacterial SSU rRNA". It matches the Rfam family "Bacterial small subunit ribosomal RNA", at positions 27 to 518 of the family's 1533-position model. The record is from RNAcentral.
GAACGAACGCUGGCGGCGCGCUUAAGCAUGCAAGUCGGACGGCAAGGGUUGUGCUGCACAACUCCUAGAGUGGCGGACUGGUGAGUAACGCGUGGGUGACCUGCCCUCGAGAUGGGGAUAGCCAUUAGAAAUAGUGGAUAAUACCGAAUACGCUCAUGACCCUGUGGGGAUAUGAGGAAAACAGGCUACGGCCUGGCUCGAGGAUGGGCCCGCGUCCCAUUAGCUAGUUGGUGAGGUAACGGCCCACCAAGGCGACGAUGGGUAUCCGGCCUGAGAGGGUGUACGGACACAUUGGGACUGAGAUACGGCCCAAACUCCUACGGGAGGCAGCAGCCAAGAAUAUUCCGCAAUGGACGAAAGUCUGACGGAGCGACGCCGCGUGGAUGAAGGAAAGGCCGGAAGGUUGUAAAAUCCUUUUGCUGAUGAAGAAUAAGUGUGGUAGGGAAUGACCGCAUGAUGACAUUAGUCGGUGAAUAAGCCCCGGCUAACUACGUGCCAGCCGCCGC